Oenanthe melanoleuca is the source of this 1337-nucleotide long non-coding RNA. RefSeq lists it as uncharacterized. The transcript has 3 exons. The record is from RefSeq and is a predicted model, not a curated record. Lineage: Eukaryota; Metazoa; Chordata; Aves; Passeriformes; Muscicapidae.
CCAUUCUGAUUUCCAUAUCACUGUCUGCACAUACUUGACUUUUUCCUUUGACUGUGAUAGUUUCCUACCUGCUGUACUGCAGAGUCUGAUGAAAAUUCAGCUGCUGUGAGAAACAUGUGGCACCAACACUCUGUGAUGACUCAAGAGCUGGCAGGGAGCCCCACAGUUUUGCUGAACACCAGCUUUUGAAGAAUUGACUUUAUGGAAUGUUCCCGCAGUCCUGACAAAGAUCCCCAACUCCUCACUUUGUCCCUAACUUGGAUCAAGUGAACAAUCUGACUGCAGCUGAACCAGACUUAUGCCAUGGGACUGUGAUGCUAUUGAAGUCCCUCCACUGAAAACAAUCGACAAAGUUCUCUGAAACUCAUGUAAAUGAGAGUAGGAUCAAAUCUUUUUUUGUUAGUAUUUGCUUCUAUUAGAAAAGAGGAAAAAAGAGGGAAUGGUGAAAAAACAGGUACAAGUGUUCUUAUUUCCCUGGAAAAGGCACUGGUGUUUUUUUGGAAUUGCCUCCUGAUUUGUUAUGAAACUCUAAAACUUUUAUUUUUAGUUCAGUUUCAUGACUAAUCACAGUUUGACAAAUAUGGAAAUUUUUAUGUGUGGGGGAAUUGAUGUGCAGUAGUUUUUGUUCUUUCCCCUGUUCAGUUUGAGGAUCUGCAUGUUGAUGUAUUUAUUUUGAAUUAAUGUUUAUUUCAGUAAGCUGAGGGAUUUGUUAUGAUUAUUAUGAAAGGGCCUGGUAUAUAUGUAAAUGAAAUGCAGAGAAGUAGGAGAAAGCAACUAAUUUGCUCUUGGAAUAUGAGGAUAACUUAGCUUGGUCAAAGCUUCUAGAUAAAUAUUAUUCCACAUAGCAAACCUGUUUCCUCUUUGUCUUAAUGAUUUCUUGUAUUGUAAAUUUGUGUAAGGAAAAUUGAUUUGGAACACCAACAUUAGUUUAGUCAGUCAUUUUAUAUGUUACUGGAAUAUUUUCAGUUACAAGCAGGGUAACUUAUGUCCACCUUAUUUUUAAGGAAUUUAGGGAAACAAUAUUCUUGUCAAUGUGUGGUGACUGGGUAAAGAUCUGGGUUUUAAAGUGCAACUAAUUUCUAUUUCAAUUUAUUUUGCUUGCAAGGAUUUUACUUAGCUAAACUGCAUAGAAAUGUGGUUUUAGGAGACUUGGUUCUUUAGAUUUAAGACAGGGAAAGUUCUUCUUUUUUAUUUGAAGAAAACUUGUUUUAAUGUGAAUUACUUUGAUACUUGCAGUGUAAACAACACACAGUGGGAUCAGUUAUCAAAAAGGUGACUUUCUAAUGCAAGUUAAAGGCUGAAAUGAUGAAUUUCACAUCUGUUAAAUAGGCUUAAUU